RNAcentral lists this ribosomal RNA (657 nucleotides) under uncultured bacterium. RNAcentral describes it as "bacterial SSU rRNA". It matches the Rfam family "Bacterial small subunit ribosomal RNA", at positions 153 to 825 of the family's 1533-position model. The record is from RNAcentral.
GAAAUCAUUGCUAAUACCGCAUAUGCCAUAACUACCGCAUGGUAGAAGUGGGAAAGGAGUAAUCCGCUGAUAGAUGGCCUUGCGUCUGAUUAGUUAGUUGGUGGGGUAACGGCCUACCAAGACGACGAUCAGUAGCCGGACUGAGAGGUUGAACGGCCACAUUGGGACUGAGAUACGGCCCAGACUCCUACGGGAGGCAGCAGUCGGGAAUAUUGCGCAAUGGAGGAAACUCUGACGCAGUGACGCCGCGUGCAGGAAGAAGGUUUUCGGAUUGUAAACUGCUUUAGACAGGGAAGAGAAAGGACAGUACCUGUAGAAUAAGCUCCGGCUAACUACGUGCCAGCAGCCGCGGUAAUACGUAGGGAGCGAGCGUUAUCCGGAUUUAUUGGGUGUAAAGGGUGCGUAGACGGGAAUACAAGUUAGUUGUGAAAUACCUCGGCUUAACUGAGGAACUGCAACUAAAACUAUAUUUCUUGAGUACAGGAGAGGUAAGUGGAAUUCCUAGUGUAGCGGUGAAAUGCGUAGAUAUUAGGAGGAACACCAGUGGCGAAGGCGACUUACUGGACUGAAACUGACGUUGAGGCACGAAAGUGUGGGGAGCAAACAGGAUUAGAUACCCUGGUAGUCCACACCGUAAACGAUGGAUACUAGGUGUAG